GCAAACUUGGUCAUUUAGAGGAAGUAAAAGUCGUAACAAGGUUUCCGUAGGUGAACCUGCGGAAGGAUCAUUGUUGGAAAGAAUCCUGUAGAUUUAUUUGCAGGUCAAAUAACUUUUGACACCCAAGGAGUUUUUUUGGUUGGUUGUUUAUUUGAUUUGGUUGGUUGGUUGGUCGGUCGGUCUGUUGCUACGUUGCGUUGGACGGGCUUUUAUUAGUUUGUUGCUUGGCAAGUGGCUUGAUAUAUGGACCCUCAAGACCUCAAAGACUUCAAGACCAACCAAAUCAAAGACGACAAGUCAACAACAAAAAAAGAAUGUGGUUGCCUGAUUGUGAAAAAGUGAUUGGUACAGAGAUGGAAAAUUUUGAAACAACUUUCAACAACGGAUCUCUUGGCUCUCACAUCGAUGAAGAACGCAGC
RNAcentral lists this unclassified non-coding RNA (419 nucleotides) under uncultured fungus. Its description in RNAcentral is "partial contains small subunit ribosomal RNA, internal transcribed spacer 1, and 5.8S ribosomal RNA". The stretch from base 1 to 73 matches the Rfam family "Eukaryotic small subunit ribosomal RNA", at positions 1759 to 1831 of the family's 1831-position model. Lineage: Eukaryota; Fungi. The record is from RNAcentral.